CUACGGGAGGCUGCAGUGGGGAAUAUUGCACAAUGGGCGCAAGCCUGAUGCAGCCAUGCCGCGUGUGUGAAGAAGGCCUUCGGGUUGUAAAGCACUUUCAGCGGGGAGGAAGGCGGUGAGGUUAAUAACCUCAUCGAUUGACGUUACCCGCAGAAGAAGCACCGGCUAACUCCGUGCCAGCAGCCGCGGUAAUACGGAGGGUGCAAGCGUUAAUCGGAAUUACUGGGCGUAAAGCGCACGCAGGCGGUCUGUCAAGUCGGAUGUGAAAUCCCCGGGCUCAACCUGGGAACUGCAUUCGAAACUGGCAGGCUAGAGUCGUGUAGAGGGGGGUAGAAUGCCAGGUGUAGCGGUGAAAUGCGUAGAGAUCUGGAGGAAUACCGGUGGCGAAGGCGGCCCCCUGGACAAAGACUGACGCUCAGGUGCGAAAGCGUGGGGAGCAAGCAGGAUUAGAUACCCCGGUAGUC
This 464-nucleotide ribosomal RNA is filed under the name uncultured Klebsiella sp. Its description in RNAcentral is "bacterial SSU rRNA". It matches the Rfam family "Bacterial small subunit ribosomal RNA", at positions 339 to 795 of the family's 1533-position model. The record is from RNAcentral. Lineage: Bacteria; Pseudomonadati; Pseudomonadota; Gammaproteobacteria; Enterobacterales; Enterobacteriaceae.